Molecule: ribosomal RNA, 454 nt
Filed under: uncultured bacterium
Lineage: Bacteria
Description: bacterial SSU rRNA
Rfam family: Bacterial small subunit ribosomal RNA
Source: RNAcentral
GCUUAACACAUGCAAGUCGAGCGAAAGGCUCCUUCGGGGGUACUCGAGCGGCGAACGGGGUGAGUAACACGUGAGUAAUCUGCCCUUGGCUUUGGGAUAACUACCGGAAACGGUGGCUAAUACCGGAUACGACCACUCCUUGCAUGAGGUGGUGGUGGAAAGUUUUUCGGCCAGGGAUGUGCUCGCGGCCUAUCAGCUUGUUGGUGGGGUAAUGGCCUACCAAGGCUUCGACGGUAGCCGGCCUGAGAGGGUGACCGGCCACACUGGGACUGAGACACGGCCCAGACUCCUACGGGAGGCAGCAGUGGGGAAUAUUGGACAAUGGGCGGAAGCCUGAUCCAGCAACGCCGCGUGAGGGAUGACGGCCUUCGGGUUGUAAACCUCUUUCAGUACCGACGAAGCGCCGAUGAUGGUGGUGACGGUAGGUACAGAAGAAGCACCGGCCAACUACGUG